Molecule: ribosomal RNA, 450 nt
Filed under: uncultured bacterium
Lineage: Bacteria
Description: partial 16S ribosomal RNA
Rfam family: Bacterial small subunit ribosomal RNA
Source: RNAcentral
GUGGGGAAUUUUGGACAAUGGGCGCAAGCCUGAUCCAGCAAUGCCGCGUGCAGGAAGAAGGCCUUCGGGUUGUAAACUGCUUUUGUACGGAACGAAACGGUCCUGGCUAAUAUCCGGGGCUAAUGACGGUACCGUAAGAAUAAGCACCGGCUAACUACGUGCCAGCAGCCGCGGUAAUACGUAGGGUGCGAGCGUUAAUCGGAAUUACUGGGCGUAAAGCGUGCGCAGGCGGUGCUGUAAGACAGGCGUGAAAUCCCCGGGCUCAACCUGGGAAUUGCGCUUGUGACUGCAGUGCUGGAGUGCGGCAGAGGGGGAUGGAAUUCCGCGUGUAGCAGUGAAAUGCGUAGAUAUGCUGAGGAACACCGAUGGCGAAGGCAAUCCCCUGGGCCUGCACUGACGCUCAUGCACGAAAGCGUGGGGAGCAAACAGGAUUAGAAACCCGUGUAGUCC